Molecule: long non-coding RNA, 1842 nt
Organism: Mustela putorius furo (domestic ferret)
Lineage: Eukaryota; Metazoa; Chordata; Mammalia; Carnivora; Mustelidae
Source: Ensembl
AGCAGGCGCACACGUGUGUAGAAACGCCACAGAGCAGAGAGGGCGGAAGGGAAGAAACAGGGCGAAGGACAGGAGGAGAGUUGAAGGGUGGGUGGCCAAGGAGGGCCUCACUGCAUAGGAGGCAUUUGAAGGCAAUGAGGGGGUGAGGCUCUGAGCUGUGAGGGCAGAGUGCGCUCCAAGUGGGUCUGGGGGGAGAGGGGGCAUGGCUGCUGGAGGAAGAGCCUGGAGACUGGUGUAGCUGGACUGUGAAGAAUGGAGUCCGAGCUCGGGAGGUGGGGGUUAGGAGGAGAUCGGUGAGGCCUCGUGGCCGCCAUGAGGACUUUGGCUUUGCCUCUGAGUAAGGUGAGAGCCAUGGGAGGGUGUGGAGCAAGGGGUGAGGUCCGGCUUUGGUGUUGACAGGAUCCUUCUGGGGGCUGCUGGGGCAGAAGCAGGGAGAACAGGAAGGAAUAGUCCCGGCAGGAGGUUAUGGGGGCUGGACCGAGGGGCAGCAGCGGCGCUGGCAGAAGGUGCUUAGACGCUCCAGAGAUUUCGAAGGUCAAGCCAGCAGAGGGGGUGCGGGGGCGGGACACGUGAAGGAGCGAUGCCCACGCCGCCGGGAUCGGUGCCGGCACCUGGAAUACAGAAGGGCCGUUUCCUGCGAUGGGGAAGAUGAGAAGCCUGAGGCCAGAAAGCAGCAGCAACUGGUGACAUCCCAGCCCUUGUCUUUGCCCGCAAAGAAUGGAGGCCUGGAAUUCCUACCAGAAGAUACAGAAACAACCAACAUGCAUAGACAAGCUGCUUGGAGGCCAGGAUGUCCAAACAGAGAAAUAUCUUUUCCCACCAACCAGGUAAAAAGCAAGAAUACCAACAGCUGCUGGGCUGAGGCCCCCUCCUAGCUCCCAAGGCGGGUCCCCGUGGGCACCGCAGCUGGCACACGGCUUGUCGGUGGGAAUCGAGCUCAGAAUCCUGUGGAGCCUCAGUCCAGUGGCUGUACUCCCAGGAAUUUAUAGCUAAAAGGGGCCAACAGGAUAAGUGGUGGGUAAGCAUGCUUAUUUAGGGUGGUGAGAUUCUAGAAGUUUCCCUCGGGGCCUGGCUCUGCAGGCAGAUUGGGAGGGAGCUCCAGUUCCAAGUUGGCCAUGUGUGACCUAGGCAACUGACCUGUUUCCUCAUCUGGGAGAUGGGAAUCAUGGCUACACUGAUCCCCGUGCAUCAGCCCACCAUAGGGGGCCUUCACCCCAGGGCCUGUCAGGAGCCCACAGAGGACAGACUUACAUGAAGGAAAAGCAAUCUUUUUAUUUUUUUUAAAAUGAGGUUGAACACUUUUAUUUUUUUUAAGAUUUAUUUAUUUAUUUAUUUGACGGACAGAGAUCACAAGUACGCAGAGAGGCAGGCGGAGAGGAGAGAGAGGUGGAAGCAGGCUCUCUGAGAGCCCGAUGCGGGGCUCGAUCCCAGCACCCCAGGACCAUGACCCGAGCCAAAGGCAGAGGCCUUAACACGCUGAGCCACCCAGGCGCCCCAAAAAGCAAUCUUUUGAUGUGAGGAGGUUAUUAGCAGUCUUGACAAAUGGAGCUGAAAAAGCUCUCUGGGACUCAGUUUCCCUUUCAAACAAAGGAAAAUUGGUGUUGGGAGCUCCCAUGGGGUAGCUCCUAGGCUCUCCCCAGUGGCCCUCCGUCCUGACCCCCUGCCUUCCCUCACCCCAGCUCUGAGAGCUGAGCCAGGAGUCACCAGCUCAGGCAAGAGAAGGCUGGAGAGGGGGAGGAGAAGCGAACCACCCACCGCCUCCACCCCAGGCCUUGGCCCUCUGGCUCCAGCGAAGGCCUGGGGAGGAUGGGGGUUUAUCUCACACACCUCUAGGGAGGGGCC